CCUGAGUUAUCAACUCCCAAACCCCUGUGAACAUACCUUAUGUUGCCUUCGGCGGAGUCAGCCGGCGCGCCCACGGGUAGAACCGGACCAGGCGCCCGCCGCAGGAACCCUAAACUCUGUUUUCAGUGUACUCUCUGAGUGAUAAGAAACAAAUAAAUCA
RNAcentral lists this unclassified non-coding RNA (160 nucleotides) under soil metagenome. RNAcentral's name for it is "partial internal transcribed spacer 1". The record is from RNAcentral.